AACGAACGCUGGCGGCGUGGAUAAGACAUGCAAGUCGAACGAUCAUCACGGGGUAGCAAUAUCUUGUGGUGGGAGUGGCGCAAGGGUGCGUAACACGUGGGUAAUCUGCCGCGAAGACUGGGAUAAUCCCGAGAAAUCGGGACUAAUACCGGAUGUGAAUACGAGGAGGCAUUCUUUUUUGUAUUCGAAGCUGGGGACUGUAAC
Molecule: ribosomal RNA, 204 nt
Filed under: uncultured bacterium
Lineage: Bacteria
Description: partial 16S ribosomal RNA
Rfam family: Bacterial small subunit ribosomal RNA
Source: RNAcentral